RNAcentral lists this ribosomal RNA (492 nucleotides) under uncultured bacterium. RNAcentral describes it as "partial 16S ribosomal RNA". It matches the Rfam family "Bacterial small subunit ribosomal RNA", at positions 29 to 507 of the family's 1533-position model. The record is from RNAcentral.
AGUGAACGCUGGCGGUAGGCCUAACACAUGCAAGUCGAACGGCAGCACAGUAAGAGCUUGCUCUUACGGGUGGCGAGUGGCGGACGGGUGAGGAAUACAUCGGAAUCUACUUUUUCGUGGGGGAUAACGUAGGGAAACUUACGCUAAUACCGCAUACGACCUACGGGUGAAAGCAGGGGAUCUUCGGACCUUGCGCGAUUGAAUGAGCCGAUGUCGGAUUAGCUAGUGGGCGGGGUAAAGGCCCACCAAGGCGACGAUCCGUAGCUGGUCUGAGAGGAUGAUCAGCCACACUGGAACUGAGACACGGUCCAGACUCCUACGGGAGGCAGCAGUGGGGAAUAUUGGACAAAGGGCGCAAGCCUGAUCCAGCCAUACCGCGUGGGUGAAGAAGGCCUUCGGGUUGUAAAGCCCUUUUGUUGGGAAAGAAAAGCAGCAGGUUAAUACCCCGCUGUUCUGACGGUACCCAAAGAAUAAGCACCGGCUAACUUCGUG